GGCCCCAUGGUGUAAUGGUUAGCACUUUGGACUCUGAAACCAGCGAUCCGAGUUCAAUAUCGUUGGGACCU
Molecule: transfer RNA, 71 nt
Filed under: Caligus rogercresseyi
Lineage: Eukaryota; Metazoa; Arthropoda; Copepoda; Siphonostomatoida; Caligidae
Rfam family: tRNA
About the family: Transfer RNA (tRNA) molecules are approximately 80 nucleotides in length.
Source: Rfam by way of RNAcentral